CGCGGGGUGGAGCAGCUCGGUAGCUCGCUGGGCUCAUAACCCAGAGGUCGCAGGUUCAAAUCCUGUCCCCGCAAC
RNAcentral lists this transfer RNA (75 nucleotides) under Microbacterium imperiale. RNAcentral describes it as "tRNA-Met". It matches the Rfam family "tRNA". Rfam says of the family: Transfer RNA (tRNA) molecules are approximately 80 nucleotides in length. The record is from RNAcentral. Lineage: Bacteria; Bacillati; Actinomycetota; Actinomycetes; Micrococcales; Microbacteriaceae. RNAcentral also lists the same sequence under 30 other names.